UAGUUGGUGGGGUAAGAGCCCACCAAGGCAGAGAUCGGUAGCCGGCCUGAGAGGGCACACGGCCGCACUGGCACUGAAACACGGGCCAGACUCCUACGGGAGGCAGCAGUGGGGAAUCUUGCACAAUGGGGGAAACCCUGAUGCAGCGACGCCGCGUGAGCGAUGAAGCCCUUCGGGGUGUAAAGCUCUUUCGUCAGGGAAGAUAGUGACGGUACCUGGAGAAGCAGCUGCGGCUAACUACGUGCCAGCAGCCGCGGUAAUACGUAGGCAGCAAGCGUUGUUCGGAGUUACUGGGCGUAAAGGGUGUGUAGGCGGUUCUUUAAGUUUGGUGUGAAAUCUCCCGGCUUAACCGGGAGGGUGCGCCGAAUACUGAGGGACUAGAGUACGGGAGAGGAAAGUGGAAUUCCUGGUGUAGCGGUGAAAUGCGUAGAUAUCAGGAGGAACACCGGUGGUGUAGACGGCUUUCUGGACCGUAACUGACGCUGAGACACGAAAGCGUGGGUAGCAAACAGGAUUAGAUACCCUGGUAGUCCACGCCCUAAACGAUGCAUAUUUGGUGUGGGCAGUUCAUUCUGUCCGUGCCGGAGCUAACGCGUUAAAUAUGCCGCCUGGGGAGUACAGUCGCAAGGCUGAAACUCAAAGGAAUUGACG
Molecule: ribosomal RNA, 651 nt
Filed under: uncultured Acidobacteriota bacterium
Lineage: Bacteria; Pseudomonadati; Acidobacteriota
Description: SSU rRNA
Rfam family: Bacterial small subunit ribosomal RNA
Source: RNAcentral